AUUGAACGCUGGCGGCAGGCCUAACACAUGCAAGUCGAGCGGAUGAAGGGAGCUUGCUCCUGGAUUCAGCGGCGGACGGGUGAGUAAUGCCUAGGAAUCUGCCUGGUAGUGGGGGAUAACGUCCGGAAACGGGCGCUAAUACCGCAUACGUCCUGAGGGAGAAAGUGGGGGAUCUUCGGACCUCACGCUAUCAGAUGAGCCUAGGUCGGAUUAGCUAGUUGGUGGGGUAAAGGCCUACCAAGGCGACGAUCCGUAACUGGUCUGAGAGGAUGAUCAGUCACACUGGCACUGAGACACGGUCCAGACUCCUACGGGAGGCAGCAGUGGGGACUAUUGGACAAUGGGCGAAAGCCUGAUCCAGCCAUGCCGCGUGUGUGAAGAAGGUCUUCGGAUUGUAAAGCACUUUAAGUUGGGAGGAAGGGCAGUAAGUUAAUACCUUGCUGUUUUGACGUUACCAACAGAAUAAGCACCGGCUAACUUCGUG
Molecule: ribosomal RNA, 484 nt
Filed under: uncultured bacterium
Lineage: Bacteria
Description: partial 16S ribosomal RNA
Rfam family: Bacterial small subunit ribosomal RNA
Source: RNAcentral